This 63-nucleotide transfer RNA is filed under the name Aiolopus thalassinus tamulus. RNAcentral describes it as "tRNA-Tyr". Lineage: Eukaryota; Metazoa; Arthropoda; Insecta; Orthoptera; Acrididae. The record is from RNAcentral.
GGUAAGAUGUCUGAAUUUAGGUGAUAGACUGUAAAUCUAUUUAUGGAAAUUUUCCUCUUACCA